Molecule: ribosomal RNA, 486 nt
Filed under: uncultured bacterium
Lineage: Bacteria
Description: partial 16S ribosomal RNA
Rfam family: Bacterial small subunit ribosomal RNA
Source: RNAcentral
AUUGAACGCUGGCGGCAUGCCUUACACAUGCAAGUCGAACGGCAGCACGGGUGCUUGCCCCUGGUGGCGAGUGGCGAACGGGUGAGUAAUACAUCGGAACAUGUCCUGUAGUGGGGGAUAGCCCGGCGAAAGCCGGAUUAAUACCGCAUACGAUCCACGGAUGAAAGCGGGGGACCUCGGGCCCUCCCCCUUACGGGUUGGCGGAUGGCGGUUUAGCUAGUUGGUGGGGUAAAGGCCUACCAAGGCGACGAUCAGUAGCUGGUCUGAGAGGACGACCAGCCACACUGGGACUGAGACACGGCCCAGACUCCUACGGGAGGCAGCAGUGGGGAAUUUUGGACAAUGGGCGAAAGCCUGAUCCAGCAAUGCCGCGUGUGUGAAGAAGGCCUUCGGGUUGUAAAGCACUUUUGUCCGGAAAGAAAUCCUUGGCUCUAAUACAGUCGGGGGAUGACGGUACCGGAAGAAUAAGCACCGGCUAACUACGUG